CCAGCACCCCGAGUGGUCGGGACGAUUAUUGGGCCUAAAGCAUCCGUAGCCGGUUUUACAAGUCCUCCGUUAAAUCCAACUGCUUAACAGAUGGGCCGCGGAGGAUACUAUAAGACUAGGAGGCAGGAGAGGCAAGCGGUACUCAGUGGUAGGGGUAAAAUCCGUUGAUCCAUUGAAGACCACCAGUGGCGAAGGCGGCUUGCCAGAAUGCGCUCGACGGUGAGGGAUGAAAGCUGGGGGAGCAAACCGGAUUAGAUACCCGGGUAGUCCCAGCUGUAAACGAUGCAGACUCGGUGAUGGACUAGCUUUAUGCUAGUCCAGUGCCGCAGGGAAGCCGUUAAGUCUGCCGCCUGGGUAGUACGGUCGCAAGACUG
Molecule: ribosomal RNA, 374 nt
Filed under: uncultured organism
Description: bacterial SSU rRNA
Rfam family: Archaeal small subunit ribosomal RNA
Source: RNAcentral